UACGGGAGGCAGCAGUAGGGAAUCUUCCGCAAUGGACGAAAGUCUGACGGAGCAACGCCGCGUGAGUGAUGAAGGUUUUCGGAUCGUAAAGCUCUGUUGUUAGGGAAGAACAAGUGCGAGAGUAACUGCUCGCACCUUGACGGUACCUAACCAGAAAGCCACGGCUAACUACGUGCCAGCAGCCGCGGUAAUACGUAGGUGGCAAGCGUUGUCCGGAAUUAUUGGGCGUAAAGGGCUCGCAGGCGGUUUCUUAAGUCUGAUGUGAAAGCCCCCGGCUCAACCGGGGAGGGUCAUUGGAAACUGGGAAACUUGAGUGCAGAAGAGGAGAGUGGAAUUCCACGUGUAGCGGUGAAAUGCGUAGAGAUGUGGAGGAACACCAGUGGCGAAGGCGACUCUCUGGUCUGUAACUGACGCUGAGGAGCGAAAGCGUGGGGAGCGAACAGGAUUAGAUACCCUGGUAGUCCACGCCGUAAACGAUGAGUGCUAAGUGUUAGGGGGUUUCCGCCCCUUAGUGCUGCAGCUAACGCAUUAAGCACUCCGCCUGGGGGGUACGGUCGCAAGACUGAAACUCAAAGGAAUUGACGG
RNAcentral lists this ribosomal RNA (585 nucleotides) under Bacillus sp. B33s. RNAcentral describes it as "bacterial SSU rRNA". It matches the Rfam family "Bacterial small subunit ribosomal RNA", at positions 340 to 916 of the family's 1533-position model. Lineage: Bacteria; Bacillati; Bacillota; Bacilli; Caryophanales; Bacillaceae. The record is from RNAcentral.